AUAUUGGGCAAUGGACGCAAGUCUGACCCAGCCAUGCCGCGUGAAGGAUGAAGGCGUUCUGCGUUGUAAACUUCUUUUAUUAGGGAAGAAACCUCCGUUUUCUAAUGGAGCCGACGGUACCUAACGAAUAAGCACCGGCUAACUCCGUGCCAGCAGCCGCGGUAAUACGGAGGGUGCAAGCGUUAUCCGGAUUCACUGGGUUUAAAGGGUGUGUAGGCGGAUAUUUAAGUCAGUGGUGAAAUCUCCAGGCUCAACCUGGAAACUGCCAUUGAUACUAUUUAUCUUGAAUUCUGUUGAGGUGGGCGGAAUACAUCAUGUAGCGGUGAAAUGCUUAGAUAUGAUGUAGAACACCGAUUGCGAAGGCAGCUCACUAAGCAGACAUUGACGCUGAGGCACGAAAGCGUGGGGAUCAAAC
This 415-nucleotide ribosomal RNA is filed under the name uncultured bacterium. RNAcentral describes it as "bacterial SSU rRNA". It matches the Rfam family "Bacterial small subunit ribosomal RNA", at positions 361 to 773 of the family's 1533-position model. The record is from RNAcentral.